AGAGUUUGAUCCUGGCUCAGAACGAACGCUGGCGGCGUGUUUUAGGUUAUGCAAGUCGAACGAUCCUAAUUCGAACUGAUUCUUCGGAUGAAGUUAGGACCAAGGAUAGUGGCGGACGGGUGAGUAACACGUGGACAAUCUGCCCUACGGUGGGGAAUAACAUCCUGAAAGGGGUGCUAAUACCGCACGAUGUCUUGGAGGCGCAGGCUUCUAAGAUGAAAGGUGGCCUCUGAUUCAAGCUAUCGCCGAAGGAUGAGUCCGCGGUCUAUUAGCUAGUUGGUAAGGUAAUGGCUUACCAAGGCGACGAUAGAUAGGCGACCUGAGAGGGUGGUCGCCCUCACUGGGACUGAGAUAAGGCCCAGUCCCCUACGGGAGGCGCAGCCAAGAAUCUUGCGCAAUGGGCGAAAGCCUGACGCAGCGACGCCGCGUGGGUGAUGAAGGCUUGCGAGUCGUAAAGCCCUGUUGGGUGGGAGGAAUAUAUGCCCUGGUUAAUACCCAGGGUGUUUGACAGUACCACCCCAGAAAGCCCCGGCUAACUCCGUGCCAGCAGCCGCGGUAAUACGGAGGGGGCAAGCGUUGUUCGGAUUUACUGGGCAUAAAGGGCACGCAGGCGGUUUGGUAAGUUGGGUGUGAAAGUCCUCGGCUCAACCGAGGAAGCGCGCUCAAAACUGCCUUACUAGAGUUCGGGAGAGGAGAGUGGAAUGGCCGGUGUAGGGGUGAAAUCCGUAGAUAUCGGCUGGAACACCAUUGGCGAAGGCGACUCUCUGGCCCAGAACUGACGCUCAGGUGCGAAAGCUAGGGGAGCGAACGGGAUUAGAGACCCCGGUAGUCCUAGCCGUAAACGUUGGGCACUAGGUGUAGGGAGUAUUCAACGCUCUCUGUGCCGAAGUUAACGCAUAAGUGCCCCGCCUGGGGACUACGGUCGCAAGGCUUAAACUCAAAGGAAUUGACGGGGGCCCGCACAAGCGGUGGAGCAUGUGGUUUAAUUCGAUACAACGCGAAAAACCUUACCAGGGCUUGACAGCUAUCUGACACCGGUGUGAAAGCAUCGUUCCUCUUCCCGAGGCAGAUAGAACAGGUGGUGCAUGGCUGUCGUCAGCUCGUGUCGUGAGAUGUUGGGUUAAGUCCCGCAACGAGCGCAACCCCUAUCUUUAGUUGCCAGCGGAUAAUGCCGGGGACUCUAGAGAAACUGCCGGUGACAAACCGGAGGAAGGUGGGGACGACGUCAAGUCAUCAUGCCCCUUACGCCCUGGGCUACACACGUGCUACAAUGGCUGUUACAAAGGGACGCAAUACCGCGAGGUGGAGCAAAUCCCCAAAAGUCAGCCUCAGUUAGGAUUGCAGGCUGCAAUUCGCCUGCAUGAAUGUGGAAUCGCUAGUAAUCGCGGAUCAGCAUGCCGCGGUGAAUACGUUCUCGGGCCUUGUACACACCGCCCGUCACGUCAUCCGAGUCGAGGGUACCCGAAGUCAUUGACCCGACCCACUUCGGUGGGAGGGAGGUGCCCAAGGUAUGUUCGGUAAGGAGGACGAAGUCGUAACAAGGUA
Molecule: ribosomal RNA, 1545 nt
Filed under: metagenome
Description: bacterial SSU rRNA
Rfam family: Bacterial small subunit ribosomal RNA
Source: RNAcentral